UCCCUGGUGGUCCAGUGGUUAAGACUGCACUUCCAAUGUAGGGGGCACAGGUUCGAUACCUGGUCAGGGAA
RNAcentral lists this transfer RNA (71 nucleotides) under Bos taurus (domestic cattle). It matches the Rfam family "tRNA". From Rfam's summary of the family: Transfer RNA (tRNA) molecules are approximately 80 nucleotides in length. Their secondary structure includes four short double-helical elements and three loops (D, anti-codon, and T loops). Further hydrogen bonds mediate the characteristic L-shaped molecular structure. tRNAs have two regions of fundamental functional importance: the anti-codon, which is responsible for specific mRNA codon recognition, and the 3' end, to which the tRNAs corresponding amino acid is attached (by aminoacyl-tRNA synthetases). tRNAs cope with the degeneracy of the genetic code in two manners: having more than one tRNA (with a specific anti-codon) for a particular amino acid; and 'wobble' base-pairing, i.e. permitting non-standard base-pairing at the 3rd anti-codon position. Lineage: Eukaryota; Metazoa; Chordata; Mammalia; Artiodactyla; Bovidae. The record is from Rfam by way of RNAcentral. RNAcentral also lists the same sequence under 5 other names.